GUCGGGAUCGGUAUCGUAUCAGCGACCACCGGUGCAUGUUUCGUGUGAAUGGGUAUGGUGGUUAUACUCAUUGUGGCGACGUCCCUGAUUAUGCUUCAUCAAAUGAUGAUAGCCAUGAUGAAGCCAGCUCGUCCAGUGAUGACUUUGGAGUUAUUACUUCACCCUAUUACUCUGAUCUUUGGCAUUUUUUUUUGGCAUUUUGUUUGUUUCUCUUUCUCACGUGGCAUUUUGCGAGUACAUCCCUGAAUCCUGCAGUAGAAAAUGAGUAUUUUUAAAAUCAGCAAUUGUACAAGAAAUAUUUGAACUCAGAUAAAACAGGUGUUCAUUAAUCUCAGUUUGUAUCAUUAUUCAUUUUUAUUCACUAUUUUUUUUCAUCAGUUAUAUUCAUUUUGAAGCUCAUUACCUUCCCAUUCAUUUAUUCAUUUUUUAAUGUUUAGAUCAGUGUCAUUUAUGAAUAAAUCGAUGUUUUCAUUCUCCGUCCCUCAUUCUCCGUCAUUUUUUCCUCAGUUUAUCGCUUUUCUCAAUUUUAGUCUCAGUUCAGUUUAGUAUCAGUGUCAUUCUUCAGUUCUGAUAAGUGUCAUUUAUGAUUUAAUUGCUGUUUUAUUUGUUUAUCUCAUUCUCUGUUCCUCAUUCUCUGUCCCUCAUUACUUGUCACUUAUUCAUCAUUUAUUCACUUUUCUCAGUUUUAGUCUAACUUUUAUUCUUCGGUUUUUCUCAGUGUCAUUCUUCAGUCUCAAUUUAGUAUCAGUAUCGAUGUCCGGCUUAAGAUCAGUGUCAUUUAUGAUUUAAUCGCUCAUUCUCCGUCCCUCAGUUUCUCAUUCUCCGUCCCUCAGUUUUAGUCUCAGUUUUCUUUGUCCUUGUUUUGAGUUAAAUCACAUUUUUUCACCCCCGUCUCCGAUUUGUUGAUUCUUCAUUUAUUUCUCUGUUUCAUUUCUUGAGUUUUCCCUCAGUCUUUAUUUUCCAGUUUCAAUCUUUAUUCCUCGGUCUUCAGUCUUUAUUCCUCAGUCAUUUCUAGAUAAUUCUCUAUUUUUUAUCAGUCUCAGUUUAUUUCGUGGAGAGCCGCCAGGCAGGGAGUUGGAAGGGUGGACUCAAUUAAAGAGGCGGGAGGAGCUGGUGCUGUCGGUUGGCCAGGUACGUAGCUAAUUUCUCUGUUAUGUUGUUAUUUAAUUCACUCGCUGGUCAAGCAAAUUCUGCUGGGAUAGUUUGAUGAAGUAGUUUUCUAGAGUUAGAUGUCGCACAACACAAAGGUGAGAUGGGCUGUUUUAUUUGGCUGUAAGUGUAUCGGCUGGAAAUUCUGAUGAUUUGAUGAUUUACAGAACCUUGUCCAAAGAAAGAGGCUUGCGGCAGAUGGUUCACCAUUUUGUCAAAUGUGAAAGCUUCCUAUAGGCUCACUUGACUGGACCCAUGUGUGUGAUCAGCAGCACUACAUACAGCACCACAAACAUGCACCCAGACAUGAUGGAGCGAGGUGCGAAGGCUUGCCCAGCUGAACUGGGCUUUCCUUUUGAUGAAUCGUAUAAACUGAACAUGCAUUUUCCUAACUUGUUACAGUGUUGGGUACUAGGCUGUGAUAAGGGAAGCCAGAGAUCUCAGAAAACAUGUUGGCCUUGCAAGUAAACAGAUACCCCAGUAGUUGAUUAUCAGUUGCCUUCUUCCUAGGUUCUUUUCUCUAUACAGUAUUAUCAUGAUCAUGUGGCAAACAUAGCUAUAGAAACAUAAAUUUGGCGGCUUUUUAUCAGUCUUCCACAAAGCAUUGUAGGCUUGUUUUGAAUCAUUCUUAAACUGACAGGAAUAGCCACAGAAACCGAGAGGUGGUAGCAGCAUAGUAAGGAUGGUGACACAAUAGCAUCUCUUUCUUCAGUUCUACAUUCUAUUUAUAAUUGUUUUGUUUGCAGCACUACCUACUUGCUCCUCUAGAAUAGGAAGUUUUAUUUGGCCAUGUUGAUCCUAGGGUACUAUGCUAUGAGAAGGACAAGCGGGAAAGAUGCCAAGGAAUGCGCUGGUCAGCACAAUCUAUUGGGAGAGAAUGAGAGAUACAUGAUUGUUCAAGAUACAAGCAGUGUCUGUAAUGUAGUAGGGGGGAGAGGGAGAAGUGAUCACUUGCCUGUCCCAAGAGUGU
This is an RNA transcript of Lolium perenne, 2119 nucleotides long. RefSeq lists it as uncharacterized. NCBI's taxonomy places the organism in Eukaryota, Viridiplantae, Streptophyta, Magnoliopsida, Poales, Poaceae. The record is from RefSeq and is a predicted model, not a curated record.